Molecule: ribosomal RNA, 1038 nt
Filed under: Triticum aestivum (bread wheat)
Lineage: Eukaryota; Viridiplantae; Streptophyta; Magnoliopsida; Poales; Poaceae
Description: partial small subunit ribosomal RNA
Source: RNAcentral
CUCGCCUUCUGCCAGCGGUCCGGUGGCUCCUAGUUCUGGCAAUCCAUCAUACAUCUCCUCCCAGUCCUCCGCAUCGGGACCUCGAUUGCGGUUGGAUAGGGCACCGCCAUGCUAUUUUGGUUCGAUAGAUGGUAUGGGGAAGUCCCCUUCGCGGCUCGCUUUCCUGACCUGUUCACCAUCGCGGUACAUCCGCGGAUUUUUGUUGCAGUGGCCCUUAUUGACUUAGGGCAACCCGCGUUCUGGAGACCAUUCGGACCGGCGGAGAACGCUGAUUGGCAUGACUUGUUCGACUGCAUCGCGCUGGACGAGCCGGAUCUAGAUAUGGGAGAUGACGGCACCAGGUGGCGCCUAGAGCCAUCUGGUCAAUUCUCCACUAAAUCACUCUACCAGGCUAUAGCCCCCUCGCCGGGACCUGAGGCUCUCACCACCAUCUGGGAGAUCCGGCUCCCCUUGAAGAAUAGGAUUUUCUUGUGGCAAUGGAUUCGCGGUCACCUUCCGUCCGGCAUGGAGGUCCUAAAACGCAACGGCCCUGGUGAUGGGCGUUGCUCUCUCUGCGGGCCUGAGGAGGAUUCGAACCAUAUCUUCUUCACCUGCAUGUCCGAGCAGUUCCUCUGGAGCUGUUUCCGCGAAAUAGUGGAUGGAAGCUGGGACCACAACAACUUCCCCGCUCUCUUCGCCGAACUCCAGACGCUACCACCCUCGUCUCGCCACAUUAGGUGGUUGACAAUCGGUGUGCUAGCCUGGACGUUGUGGAUUGUUAGGAAUAAGCUUGUGAUUCAGCAUAUCCCUCUUUGUCGCGCUACUGACGCUCUUUUCAAAUGGUCUGCUUACUUGCAGCUUUGGCGGCCGCUUAGCCGCCCCAGGGAGAGAGACGCCAUCACCUCCAUCACCCAGCUUCGUGCGCUCCGGAUGGCUCCGUCGCUUCCCCCCUCCACCACCGGAGUCGGAUUAGGUCUUCUCUACCUCGUCACCGUCGUGUGUGUGCUGUGCGUGCCUGUUAUGUCUGCAUUGGGCUUGUUGUGUUGUGCCCAAAGCUGA